RNAcentral lists this ribosomal RNA (253 nucleotides) under uncultured bacterium. RNAcentral describes it as "partial 16S ribosomal RNA". It matches the Rfam family "Bacterial small subunit ribosomal RNA", at positions 524 to 776 of the family's 1533-position model. The record is from RNAcentral.
UACAGAGGUGGCAAGCGUUGCUCGGCAUCACUGGGCUUAAAGGGCGCGUAGGCGGUGCGGUGCGGUUUCGGUGAAAUCCCUCGGCCCAACCGAGGAACAGCCGGGGCUACGGCCGCGCUAGACGGCAUCAGGGGACAGUGGAACUCCCGGUGGAGCGGUGAAAUGCGUAGAUAUCGGGAGGAACGCCGGUGGCGAAAGCGACUGUCUGGGGUGCCUGUGACGCUGAGGCGCGAAAGCCAGGGGAUCAAACGGG